GUACGACGUACGUUUUCUAUAUAUUACAUCUUUUUUUUCUUUGAUUCGAGGUCAAACUCCUACGCGAUACCAGUCUCGCUUAUUAAUCGGUUAUUAAAAUACUCGAUAACGAUGACACAAUCAUGAUACACCUGAAUAUGUUUAAUAGAUCAGAAAUCAGAUAAACAUUGUUUUUACUAUAAAAGUUGUAUUAUCGCAUAACAAAAGAGUGAAAUACGGUGAAUUACCAUUAAAUAAUUUACUGUGUAAAAGCAGAUUUUUUUUAUUAAAUAUUCUAUUUAAUAAAAAGCAUAUUUAAUUUUAUCUACUGUAAAUUGAUUUUAUGUGAAUUGUGCCAUAAAAAUUAGUAAUGUUAACUCAAAGAUUGUUAUAUUAUUUAUUAUAUUAUUUAUUGUAUAUAUAUAUAAAUACAGAAUCAUUGUAAUCAAGACAUCGUUCAACACGCAUUAAAGUCACCAAAUUGUUAUGUAUUUCUUAUAUAUAGAUUACUCUACUAUUUGAAUUCAUAGCAUUAUUAAAAUCAUCGACAACAGCACCGGAUAGCGCAGGAAUGGUAGAAAUGGUGAAUGGAUUGGCAUACGAACUGCGGCAUAUCUAGAUUGAUGGCAAACGUAAAUUGUCGAUGUUCAAUGAUACGUCAUUCUGGAAAUGAAAUUGGGAAAGUACUGGCGAGCUAAUUUCUGAAAUGGAUGCAAGCUUUGUUCCAUGAUGCUCAGCUGGUCAACGUCACAAUAAUGAUGCAAAUUGCUUGAACUUUGAUCAUACAGAUUACACUCCCAUUAUAUAAUGCUUGACUAGACUGCAAUCAAAGUCAAACGUAUAUUUGUCAACCUUGUAAAUAAAUGAAAACAUUCUGAAAAAUAGGAAAGUAUUAUGGACUAAGAGAAUUUAUGAUAAUUUGCUAAUUAUACAUAAAUAAUUUAAAUUUGUAAGGGCCAUAAAUCAUAAAUUUGAAGGGUCAGCAGCAUGCGCGCCUCGCAGAUCAAACUUGAACAAGAGCUAUGCAUUAUCAGGCGAUAACGACUUGCUGCGAAGAUUUUCAUUUUUGAGACAAUCUUAUUAUCUUAUUA
Long non-coding RNA from Formica exsecta, 1070 nucleotides. RefSeq lists it as uncharacterized. The record is from RefSeq and is a predicted model, not a curated record. The transcript has 3 exons. Lineage: Eukaryota; Metazoa; Arthropoda; Insecta; Hymenoptera; Formicidae.